UCGUAAAAUUAAGCAGCCGAACUUCAUCCUUGCAGGCCAUUGGCAUCAGGGGCGUAACUACAGGGGGGGGUUGGGGGGUGUCUCACCCCCCCAAUCUUUCGAAACGGUACUCUCGUCGGGCAAAAACUAAGAAAAGGUCGGGAAAAACUACUGAAAAUCUAGUCGAAAAUUUUAAAUCAUCUGGAUGGGCAGGGCAAUGAAAGAUUUUAAGUUUCAGAUAUUGUUCACAAAAUAAGGGUUUCGUGCAUGUUUUAACAGGAAUUUGUCCGAAAAUUUUUUUUUUACCUUUAAUUGAACUGGUCGUAUGUC
Paramuricea clavata is the source of this 309-nucleotide non-coding RNA. The record is from the annotation of a GenBank genome assembly. NCBI's taxonomy places the organism in Eukaryota, Metazoa, Cnidaria, Anthozoa, Malacalcyonacea, Plexauridae.